CGUGCGGUGGCUCCGGAUCUUCGCGGUUUCGGCGACACCGACGCGCCGGCGGAUGGAACCAGCUAUACCAGUCUGCACGUGGUCGGCGACAUCAUCGGAGUGCUUGACGCCAUCGGAGCGGAUCGGGUGUUCGUGGUGGGGCACGACUGGGGAGCCGUGAUGGCUUGGUAUCUGUGCUUGUACCGGCCUGAUAGAGUGAAGGCUUUGGUGAAUAUGAGCGUCCCCUUUUCUCCUAGAAACCCUAUGCGGAAGCCUCUCGAGAGCCUUCGUGCUCAAUUGGGAGAUGACUACUAUAUUUGCAGAUUUCAGGUUCCUUUUCCUUUGUUUCCUGUAUCACUCUCGUCCUCCCUUUCGAAGAAAUUUUUUUUCAUAAACUUCUUAACCUAUUUUUUUUUUUUUUGUCCUUUUUUACUCUUUAUUUUCCUUCUCUCGAAUCUUCCCCCAAUCAAACAUUUUGAAAAAAGAUUGCAACUUUGCAAGAUUUAUGGGCUUCGAAUAUUUUUGGUUGAAGGAUGAUCAUAGUUUUAAUGACAAUAACAAUAAAACAUUUCCAUUUGUGUCCAGUAAAUAGAAACAGUGGGUACUUGAUGAUUAGGAGGGACGAUGGAUUUUGACAUGAAUGUAGAAUUAUUGUACGGCUUAAUCUGAUUAUACAACAGUAGUGAAUUAAUUCUAAUGGCUAGUUUAUGAGUCUAACUUACUCAUAUAGUAUUUUAGACAAAUCAUGUUAAAAGUAAGCCAAAUUUGUAAUCUAGAAAAAUGUGAAGUUGGUCAUGAUAUAACUCAUAUAGUAUUAGAAUUUUGUUUUCAAUAAUAUACACAUGUGAACUGAUUAUAAAUGGGGUGAACUGAUUAUUCUGGCAUUAUUAUGUUAGGAUGGAGUGAAGGCGUUGUAAAGUUAUUAUGGGAAAAAUAUUAUGACACCGAUUUGAUAUUCUACUUAAUAAAUACUCUAUCAACUACCUGACUGCUGUCCAACUUUUUCCUAUUUAGUAGCGUCAUUAUACAUAUGGGAGUACUUUAAAUGCUAUAUAGAGAAUCAGAGAUAAUAAUUCGUCUGCAUUAUCAGUAAGAAUAUAUACCAAACCCAAUUCCAGUUAGCUUUGCUUUUUCUUUUUUUUUUCUUUUUUCGAUGAUGCCAUGACGUGAUCUGCAGCAUAUGCCAUGUGACGUAAUCCAAGGUCAGCACUUCACCUGGGGUUUUAAGUUUUUGUUGAAAAUCUCUUUCUCAUCUUCUGUAAUGACCAUGGGACAAUGAUAUGAAUAGGGAGCGUAGCUAAUUGGUGAAGGUUUUUAUUGCAGGAGCCUGGGGUUAUAGAAACUGAGUUUGCUGAGAUUGGUGUUGAUAGAGUUCUCAAGCAUUUCCUCAC
Molecule: long non-coding RNA, 1370 nt
Filed under: Vitis vinifera (wine grape)
Lineage: Eukaryota; Viridiplantae; Streptophyta; Magnoliopsida; Vitales; Vitaceae
Description: long non-coding RNA (VVIN_LNC001272)
Source: RNAcentral